This 251-nucleotide ribosomal RNA is filed under the name uncultured prokaryote. RNAcentral's name for it is "partial 16S ribosomal RNA". It matches the Rfam family "Bacterial small subunit ribosomal RNA", at positions 525 to 775 of the family's 1533-position model. The record is from RNAcentral.
ACGUAGGUGGCAAGCGUUGUCCGGAUUUAUUGGGCGUAAAGCGAGCGCAGGCGGUUUUUUAAGUCUGAUGUGAAAGCCUUCGGCUCAACCGAAGAAUGGCAUCGGAAACUGGGAAACUUGAGUGCAGAAGAGGACAGUGGAACUCCAUGUGUAGCGGUGAAAUGCGUAGAUAUAUGGAAGAACACCGGUGGCGAAGGCAGCUGUCUGGUAUGAAACUGACGCUGAUGCACGAAAGUAUGGGUAGCAAACAG